RNAcentral lists this long non-coding RNA (627 nucleotides) under Ovis aries (sheep). Its description in RNAcentral is "lncRNA (ENSOARG00000026258.1)". Lineage: Eukaryota; Metazoa; Chordata; Mammalia; Artiodactyla; Bovidae. The record is from RNAcentral.
GGCUGAGUCCUGACUUCUAAGUGAACACAAGCCCUGGGAUGCGGAGAGCAGGACAGAUGCUGAGGCGUCAGUUCUCCACCUGUGAAGUGAGGAAGUCGACUCACCUUUGAAGACUGUGCUGAAUACUGAGGAGAACAGUGCUCAGGCACAGGAGCACAGCAAGUGUCCAGUGAUGGAUGAGUGGCAGUCGCACUUAUUCUGACAGGACUGGCGCAAGGAAAGAGAUCUUGACAUAUACAGAUUCUGGCUGGUGUGAAGGGGGCAUUCCAAGGGAGCUAUGGUGCAUUACUCACAAGUGACAGAAACCAACGAGCUUCGCCUCCCAAGGGGCUAGUGCAUCCGUUUAAAGGGAGCAAGCGCCAUGCAGAUCCGCCCCCGCCGCGUCCCCAGCAGAGAGCAGGGUGGAGUUUUGUGUGUGAACUGACAACCCAAGAAGAGGGGCAUUCCGGUCAGUGCCUGCCUUGUCUCACAGCUGGAUCUCACGAUGCACAUCUGGAGCGCAGCCGCAAAACGCUCCUAUGCGGUGUCUGUGCUCACGUGAAAAGCAGACUCAAAUGGACCAGUACUGUUUCAGCAAAUACUGUGAAGCUUCUGAUAUGGGCCAGGAAUUUUGAAAACGGAGUCUAG